AUUGAACGCUGGCGGCAUGCCUUACACAUGCAAGUCGAACGGUAACGCGGGGCAACCUGGCGACGAGUGGCGAACGGGAGAGUAACGCAUCGGAACGAGCCCAGUAGUGGGGGAUAGCCCGGCGAAAGCCGGACUAAUACCGCAUACGACCUACGGGUGCAAGGGGGGGAUCGCAAGACCUCUCGCUAUUGGAGCGGGCGAUGUCAGAUUAGGUUGUUGGUGGGGUAAAGGCCCACCAGGCCUUCGAUCUGUAGCUGGUCUGAGAGGACGACCAGCCACACUGGGACUGAGACACGGCCCAGACUCCUACGGGAGGCAGCAGUGGGGAAUUUUGGACAAUGGGCGCAAGCCUGAUCCAGCCAUGCCGCGUGCGGGAAGAAGGCCUUCGGGUUGUAAACCGCUUUUGUCAGGGAAGAAACGCUCUGGGCUAAUACCCCGGGGUAAUGACGGUACCUGAAGAAUAAGCACCGGCUAACUACGUGCCAGCCGCCGCGGUAA
RNAcentral lists this ribosomal RNA (498 nucleotides) under uncultured bacterium. Its description in RNAcentral is "partial 16S ribosomal RNA". It matches the Rfam family "Bacterial small subunit ribosomal RNA", at positions 29 to 523 of the family's 1533-position model. The record is from RNAcentral.